UAGAGUCUUUCUUUCUAGUUUAGGCUGGCCUUGAACUUGCACAGAUCCUCCUGCCUCAGCCUCCCAGAGUGGUGAGUUGACAAGCUUGUGACAUCACGCUGGGCUCUUCCUUCCAUUCUCACCUGUCCCCAGCCCUGCAACGCUGAUCCAAGGACGAGGACAGGCAGA
Molecule: long non-coding RNA, 168 nt
Organism: Octodon degus (degu)
Lineage: Eukaryota; Metazoa; Chordata; Mammalia; Rodentia; Octodontidae
Exons: 3
Source: RefSeq, a predicted model, not a curated record